CAACCCGUCUCUGUUGCAAAAGAGUGGGAAGAUUUUUAAGUAGAGGUGACAAGCCUAUCGAACUUAGAGAUAGCUGGUUGUUCAGGAAAAGAGUUUCAGCUCUACCUUAAGUUUUUUUUAUUAAUCUAAGCAAACCUCCAGACUUAAGAGCUAUUCAAGUAAGGCACAACUUACUUGAAACAGGAUACAACCUCACUUAUCGGGUAAACAAGAACAAACCAAACAAAGUAGGCCUAAAAGCAGCCAUCUCAUAAAAAGCGUUAAAGCUUAACUUCUAAGUAUUUAUAAUUCCAAUAACUCUUAUUAACCCCUCGCCACUACUGAACAAUUUUAUAAUUCUAUAAAAACUAUUAUGCUAGAACUAGUAACAAGAAACUGCCUUUCUCCUAAAUGUAAGUUUACACCACAUCGGACUGUCCACUGGUAUUUAACGUAACUGUCCCUAUUAUAGCAACACUCAACCAGAAAACCCUAUAAACACCAACGUUAACCUCACACUAGAACAUUCUAGGAAAGAUUAAAAGAAAGAGAAGGAACUCGGCAAACCUUAGCCCCGCCUGUUUACCAAAAACAUCGCCUCUUGCCUAAUAUAAGAGGUCCAGCCUGCCCAGUGACAUAGUUUAACGGCCGCGGUACCCUAACCGUGCGAAGGUAGCAUAAUCACUUGUUCCUUAAAUAGGGACUAGUAUCAACGGCAUCACGAGGGCUACACUGUCUCCUCUCUCUAAUCAGUGAAACUGAUCUCUCCGUGAAGAAGCGGAGAUUUUAAUAUAAGACGAGAAGACCCCAUGGAGCUUAAAACUCAACAUACACCUCUAUUUUUCUACACCAAUUAACCAUAAGAGUCUGUAUAUUAGUUUUAGGUUGGGGGGACCGCGGAGUAAAACUCAACCUCCACGACAAACGGGCCAACGCCCUUAUCCAUGAAACACAAUUCUAAGAAUCAACAAUCUGAUGUUUUAUGACCCAAUAAGUCGAUCAACGAACCAAGUUACCCUGGGGAUAACAGCGCAAUCUA
Molecule: ribosomal RNA, 1018 nt
Filed under: Glandirana rugosa (Japanese wrinkled frog)
Lineage: Eukaryota; Metazoa; Chordata; Amphibia; Anura; Ranidae
Description: Rugosa rugosa (Japanese wrinkled frog) partial 16S ribosomal RNA
Rfam family: Bacterial large subunit ribosomal RNA
Source: RNAcentral